GGACUACCCGGGUUUCUAAUCCUGUUUGCUCCCCUAGCUUUCGUGCAUGAGCGUCAGUAUUGGCCCAGGGGGCUGCCUUCGCCAUCGGUAUUCCUCCACAUCUCUACGCAUUUCACUGCUACACGUGGAAUUCUACCCCCCUCUGCCAUACUCUAGCCCGCCAGUCACAAAUGCAGUUCCCAGGUUAAGCCCGGGGAUUUCACAUCUGUCUUAGCGGACCGCCUGCGCACGCUUUACGCCCAGUAAUUCCGAUUAACGCUUGCACCCUACGUAUUACCGCGGCGGCUGGCAC
RNAcentral lists this ribosomal RNA (292 nucleotides) under uncultured bacterium. RNAcentral's name for it is "partial 16S ribosomal RNA". The record is from RNAcentral.